CCUGAUCUUAAAAGCAUUGCAGACGUGGCUAUUGUGUCACAUGUACAUCAGUAGGUGGCAGAGAGGAGAGAGGCUGUGUCUACACUCAGUGUUCUGGCCUGUGAACAUAUGAACAGUUAGUAGCCUGACAUU
This is a small nucleolar RNA of Acomys russatus (golden spiny mouse), 132 nucleotides long. RefSeq annotates it as small nucleolar RNA SNORA17. The record is from RefSeq and is a predicted model, not a curated record. The transcript has a single exon. NCBI's taxonomy places the organism in Eukaryota, Metazoa, Chordata, Mammalia, Rodentia, Muridae.